This 76-nucleotide transfer RNA is filed under the name Polyangiaceae bacterium. Its description in RNAcentral is "tRNA-Thr". It matches the Rfam family "tRNA". Rfam says of the family: Transfer RNA (tRNA) molecules are approximately 80 nucleotides in length. Their secondary structure includes four short double-helical elements and three loops (D, anti-codon, and T loops). Lineage: Bacteria; Pseudomonadati; Myxococcota; Polyangiales; Polyangiaceae. The record is from RNAcentral.
GCCCACCUAGCUCAGUUGGUAGAGCACGUCCUUGGUAAGGACGAGGUCGUCGGUUCAAGCCCGAUGGUGGGCUCCA